UAGGGAAUCUUCGGCAAUGGACGGAAGUCUGACCGAGCAACGCCGCGUGAGUGAAGAAGGUUUUCGGAUCGUAAAGCUCUGUUGUAAGAGAAGAACGAGUGUGAGAGUGGAAAGUUCACACUGUGACGGUAUCUUACCAGAAAGGGACGGCUAACUACGUGCCAGCAGCCGCGGUAAUACGUAGGUCCCGAGCGUUGUCCGGAUUUAUUGGGCGUAAAGCGAGCGCAGGCGGUUAGAUAAGUCUGAAGUUAAAGGCUGUGGCUUAACCAUAGUACGCCUUGGAAACUGUUUAACUUGAGUGCAAGAGGGGAGAGUGGAAUUCCAUGUGUAGCGGUGAAAUGCGUAGAUAUAUGGAGGAACACCGGUGGCGAAAGCGGCUCUCUGGCUUGUAACUGACGCUGAGGCUCGAAAGCGUGGGGAGCAAACAGGAUUAGAUACCCUGGUAGUCCACGCUGUAAACGAUGAGUGCUAGGUGUUAGACCCUUUCCGGGGUUUAGUGCCGUAGCUAACGCAUUAAGCACUCCGCCUGGGGAGUACGACCGCAAGGUUG
Molecule: ribosomal RNA, 550 nt
Filed under: uncultured bacterium
Lineage: Bacteria
Description: bacterial SSU rRNA
Rfam family: Bacterial small subunit ribosomal RNA
Source: RNAcentral